Molecule: ribosomal RNA, 295 nt
Filed under: uncultured bacterium
Lineage: Bacteria
Description: partial 16S ribosomal RNA
Rfam family: Bacterial small subunit ribosomal RNA
Source: RNAcentral
GGAUUAGAUACCCUGGUAGUCCACGCCGUAAACGAUGAUAACUAGCUGUCCGGGCUCAUGGAGCUUGGGUGGCGCAGCUAACGCAUUAAGUUAUCCGCCUGGGGAGUACGGUCGCAAGAUUAAAACUCAAAGGAAUUGACGGGGGCCUGCACAAGCGGUGGAGCAUGUGGUUUAAUUCGAAGCAACGCGCAGAACCUUACCAGCCUUUGACAUCCUAGGGCGGUUUCUGGAGACAGACUCCUUCCCUUCGGGGACCUAGUGACAGGUGCUGCAUGGCUGUCGUCAGCUCGUGCCG